ACCUGGGUGGCUCAGUUGGUUAAGCAUCUGUCUUCGGCUCAGGUCAUGAUCUCACAGUUUGUGAGUUCAAGCCCCACUUUGGGUG
Molecule: transfer RNA, 85 nt
Filed under: Felis catus (domestic cat)
Lineage: Eukaryota; Metazoa; Chordata; Mammalia; Carnivora; Felidae
Also listed under: 2 other names
Rfam family: tRNA
About the family: Transfer RNA (tRNA) molecules are approximately 80 nucleotides in length. Their secondary structure includes four short double-helical elements and three loops (D, anti-codon, and T loops).
Source: Rfam by way of RNAcentral